Molecule: long non-coding RNA, 604 nt
Organism: Oryzias melastigma (Indian medaka)
Lineage: Eukaryota; Metazoa; Chordata; Actinopteri; Beloniformes; Adrianichthyidae
Exons: 3
Source: RefSeq, a predicted model, not a curated record
UUCUUCAUGCCAGAAAAGAGAGAGCACAAGGAGAUGGUAAGAUUGGCUCCAACUUUCUUCUUCACAGUGAGUUUUUGUGUUUUCUGUUGUCCUGUCCACUCAUGAUGAAAAUGAAAAAAUAGUAAAAGUUUAGCCCAUAAUAGGCACUUUUAAAACUAAUAAAUACAUAAUUAAUUAUUAGUAAUACAAUGUGAUAGUUUUAAUGUAAAAGUUAGAAGGAAAAAAAUCCUCUGAUUGGUGUACCACACCAUGAUGCUGCUGCUCCCGUGCUUCAUUAAAGCCUAGAGCUGAAGAUGAGUGUUUCCUCUGCAGGUGAAGGUAGAAGGUGUGUGUGAGCUGAUCCAGUGGACCCGGUGAAUCCAGCAGCAUGGAUCAGUGUGAGGACACACAGGAGGGAGCCCCUCCCUCUAAAAAAGGAAGGGUUGAAAAAGAUGAGAGUCAAAGCAAAGCUCAGAUGAACCAACCUGGACCUGGAGAUAAACCCAGCUGUGUGUCCUUCAGGAGUGACAGGUCAAAGGAAUUCAUCCUUAACUUCAAAUCCAUCAGUUCAGGAGUGAAACAAGUUGACCAGCAGAGCUCAGAGACUCCCAGUGGUCCGUCUGUC